Long non-coding RNA from Pollicipes pollicipes, 689 nucleotides. RefSeq lists it as uncharacterized. NCBI's taxonomy places the organism in Eukaryota, Metazoa, Arthropoda, Thecostraca, Pollicipedomorpha, Pollicipedidae. The transcript has 3 exons. The record is from RefSeq and is a predicted model, not a curated record.
CCCCAAUCAGGCCCCUGGUAUAUAAGCCAGGUCGGGAGGAGGGCAGCUUCAGACACUUCCCAGUUCUUCUGGACAACACAACUACCUUUCCUCCGUUCCCUUCAAGAUGCAGACCGUCACCAUCUUGCUCUGCGUGGCUGCUGCCGCCGCUGCAUUGCCGCAGGGCUUCUUCCCAGGUGGUCUGUUCAGUCAGAACGGUCAGGCGACCGGAAGUGCCGCCGGCAAUGUGGUGUCCGGGGUCAGCAGUGAUCCCUUCCAGAACUCUCGGAUCACGCAAGUCAGCGCCACCGCCUCGGGUUCAGCCAGAGGCAAUGCUGUAAGCUCCAACGUCGCCAGCGCAUCCAACGUCGUUUCCUCGGGGUUGUUUGGCAACCAGGAGUUCUCAAACACCAACGCCGUCUCCAACCAGCAGACGUUCGGUAGUGGACUUAGCGGAAGUUACCAGCAGCCGAUCGGUCAAUUCCGGCGGCAGUACCGCAGGCGGAACUUCUACUAAUCAUGAUCUAGCUGGUCCAGCGUUCGGGGAGUUGUUAGGGCAUCUGUUAAUAGUGUGUAGCGAUGUGUGUGGCACGGAUGAAAGAGCAUUCAGUUUGUAAUAAUUGCAUUCGUACUCCUCGUCGUUUUCAAACCCACAUAACCCUAAUUGUGUUCCAUUGUCAUAGCAUGAAAUAAAUGAACUAUCUGACGAA